UCCUACGGGAGGCAGCAGUAGGGAAUCUUCCGCAAUGGACGAAAGUCUGACGGAGCAACGCCGCGUGAGUGAUGAAGGCUUUCGGGUCGUAAAACUCUGUUGUUAGGGAAGAACAAGUGCUAGUUGAAUAAGCUGGCACCUUGACGGUACCUAACCAGAAAGCCACGGCUAACUACGUG
RNAcentral lists this ribosomal RNA (179 nucleotides) under Bacillus sp. RG4. RNAcentral's name for it is "partial 16S ribosomal RNA". It matches the Rfam family "Bacterial small subunit ribosomal RNA", at positions 337 to 507 of the family's 1533-position model. The record is from RNAcentral. Lineage: Bacteria; Bacillati; Bacillota; Bacilli; Caryophanales; Bacillaceae.